This is a long non-coding RNA of Oncorhynchus keta (chum salmon), 620 nucleotides long. RefSeq lists it as uncharacterized. The record is from RefSeq and is a predicted model, not a curated record. The transcript is spliced from 4 exons. Lineage: Eukaryota; Metazoa; Chordata; Actinopteri; Salmoniformes; Salmonidae.
AACACAUUGUCUCUUUUACACGUGAUGUUUACACAGAGUCAGGUAACACAUUGUCUCUUUUACACGUGAUGUUUACACAGAGUCAGGUAACACAUUGUCUCCUUUACACGUGAUGUUUACACAGAGUCAGGAAACACAUUGUCUCUUUUACACGUGAUGUUUACACAGAGUCAGGUAACACAUUGUCUCUUUUACACGUGAUGUUUACACAGAGUCAGGUAACACAUUGUCUCUUUUACACGUGAUGUUUACACAGAGUCAGGAAACACAUUGUCUCUUUUACACGUGAUGUUUACACAGAGUCAGGUAACACAUUGUCUCUUUUACACGGGAUGUUUACACAGUCAGGUAACACAUUGUCUCUUUUACACGUGAUGUUUACACAGAGUCAGGUAACACAUUGUCUCUUUUACACGUGAUGUUUACACAGAGUCAGGUAACACAUUGUCUCCUUUACACGUGAUGUUUACACAGAGUCAGGUAACACAUUGUCUCCUUUACACGUGAUGUUUACACAGAGUCAGGUAACACAUUGUCUCCUUUACACGGGAUGUUUACACAGAGUCAGGUAACACAUUGUCUCUUUUACACGUGAUGUUUACACAGAGUCAGGUAACACA